Homo sapiens (human) is the source of this 2229-nucleotide RNA transcript. It is a transcript of the gene named serine protease 40B (pseudogene), with no coding region annotated. Lineage: Eukaryota; Metazoa; Chordata; Mammalia; Primates; Hominidae. The transcript has 3 exons. The record is from RefSeq and is marked validated.
CGUCGGGGACGCCCAGGCCACCGGCCUGAUGAGGGAAGCAGGGGCAGAGCGCUCAGGCCAGGGCCGGCGGGGGCACUGCGCACUGGCCGCCUCCCUCCUCUGGCCAAUCCUCCUGCCGCUGCGCGUCUAGUCCACCUCGUCCCUCUCUGCAGUCUUCCUGCCUGAGCCCUUCCAACUUCAGGAGGCAGAGGUCGGUGUCAUGGACAACACUGUCUGCGGAUCCUUUUUCCAGCCCCAGUACCCCGGCCAGCCAAGCAGCAGUGACUACACCAUCCACGAGGACAUGCUGUGCGCUGGGGACCUCAUAACAGGAAAGGCCAUUUGCCGAGCAUGUUCCUACGUGAAGCAUGGAGUUACGCAAUGGCCUGCCUGUCCAUGAAGUUCCUCUGGCCUCCUCCGAUUCUGUGGCUGCAAAUCCACACCUAGGAGCUCCGCAGGCCUGCUGGAGCACAGCGCCUGUAGGUUUCUGCGCCUGGAACCCACCUCAGGACCACAAGCCGCAUUCAGUCUCUUUUUAUAGAUCUGGAACCCGAAGCCCAGCGUGGUUAGGAACUUGUCUAAGGUCACUUGGUAGUAAAUACUGGAACAGGGAUUCAAACCCACAUCUCCAGAGAGAGCUCAGAAGCCUUGUGCUUUCCAUGAGUGCAGCUGUUUCCAGAGGCCUCCGGCCCUGUCUCACCUUCCCAGACUGCCUUGAGAGGCUCUAGCUGGCCUGUCUCUAGUGUGGCCAGAUUCUAUCUGGUCAGUGGCAAGGGAGGACCCCAGGCCACAAUACUGACAUCAGGGAACAGAACAGAUCUGCAGGGCCAGUGAGUGGUGCUACGGAAAGGCUGGGAGUGGCCCCUGCGUGGUUUUCCCUAGACCCAUCGUCAGGGGCUCCAGGCCUCCAUGUGUUGUGCUGCACGGGCUACUGGCUCCCUCUCCAAAAUCGACCCUGGGUGAGCUGUGGAGGCGAGAAGGCAGUGUGCAUUUCAGAAACUAACCAAAAUCAGUGAGAAAAUCUUGGAGAAACUGAAGUUACCCUGGGCGGCUGUAGCUGGGAAUGGAGGAUGGGGCAGCCAGGAGCCAGACUUAAGAAGGCUGUUCACACUCUGCUCUUGUUGCUUGCCUCCCACACCUCGUGACAAAUGCUGCCUGGUCCCGCUCAGGUGUCAGGAUUGCAAGGUGGCUGUGUCAGCCAGUGUGAGGGCCCCACAAGCCACCGGUGUUGUGUGCCCUCCAUCCUCCUCCUGAACCCCCCCUGGGUGGGACAGUUGCUAUCCAGGGAAAUGGGCCUCUUCCACUGUGAUCUCCUCCAGGGCUUUCACCGGCAGGCCCGCCUGCAGGAGUGGCUUGUGGGGUGGCAGGAUGCAGGAGAGAGUGAGUGAGGUGCUUCGUGCCUGGGGCCCUCUGCUCUGGGGCCACCCUCCUCGUUGACUCACUGGGAGCCUUGCUAGUGCAGACAGGGUGACCAGGAGCUGCUAAGCCCAGGGAAUGCACACACGUGCACUGGAGCAGCUGCCUAUCUUAAGAGUCCAAUGCCCACCGAAACACAGUAGGCUGCACAGCAUCCACUACUGGAAGUAGAGUUGCUGGAAAAGACAGACCAAACAUAUUUAAUAAGCACAAUAAAUAUCUUUUUGGAUACAGAAAAAUAUUAUUAGUAAUAAGACCUAAGACAAAGAAACUACCGAAAAGAACCAAGUCAAAAUAUUACAUAUGCAAAAUGUAAUCGUUGAAUUAAAGACCACAUUACAUUGAGCAAACAGGGUCAAUGCAGAUGAAAGAGGAAGCCAGUCGUUACUUUAAAGGUAUGGCUGUCACAGUGUGGACUUUGGAGCCCGUCCACUUUAGUUGGGGUAAUUUGUAGAGCAUUUAUUUACAAAAGUACUAAUCACCCAGGUAUGUUUGGGCUGAAGGCUCCGGGAAAGCCCAGGGCAGGGGCCUGGCACAGGCAUCAGAAGCAGAGCUCUUGCCACCCAAGGCCCUGAGGGACCAGUGAAGUAGGAGCCGUGGGGAGAGGGUGCCUGAGAGGAGCAGGGACACUCAGCCGAGGGACACAGCCAGCCAAGGCGGCCUCACAAAGAGGAUUUUCAUGGAAACAAAUGCCCUGACUACUUCAUUCCCACAUCUUCGGCUGAGGCUCCCAUGGCAAGUGGAGAGAGCAGCUGCAGGUGGCCUCGGUCACUUGGGUCAGCUCUCCUGCUUAAAACAAACACAGAAAUCAAUAAAAGUGUUGAUUGUAUUAUU